GCCUUGAAAUAAAACUUUCAGUAGCCAUUGUUAAUCUUCAAAAGAAACAAUAUAGUCCUUCAAGGUUCUCUAAGGAUCCUUCUGAUUUAAAUUGUAAUGCUAAAGUAUAAAAUAGUGUUUAAAGAUGAGAACAAAGCAACGCAUAUUUAGUUGUCAAUUCAUCAUUCCACAUUGAAAGACUUUUGGUAGUUAAACAUGGGAAGCUUUGUGGACAUGCCAUAGUUAGAGUUAAUAUUCAAUUUAACCCACUAAAUUUAAGGUCGGAUUUAAAUUGACCCUUAAAAUUACAAUUGAUUCAAUUGGGCCCCAAAAUUUAUAAAGUAACUCAUGCUAGUCCCUGAACUGAUUUCCGUAAACAGCGUGUUAAUUUUACACAUUAACUUGUCAAUAUUUGGAUUCUUCAUCUAGAUUUCAUAUGGCUAAGACGUAUUAGACUUCCUAGAAGCUUGAUUGACUCCCCAACAUUUUCAUAAAAAUAACAAUAAUAAGUUCAAUUUAAAAAUUUUACGGAUAUAGGAGCAAUAAUCAAGCUUUUGGAACUAAUAAAUCUUGAUCACAUGGAAGUUAGGCAAAGAAUCCAAAUCGCAACAAGUUAAUGUAUCAAAUCAACACAUUGUUAACGGAGACUAGCUCAAGAAUUAAUGUGAGUUACGAUUGUAAAUUUCGGAAUCCAAUUCUAUUAAAAUUUUAAGGGUCAAAUUGAAUCCGACUUCGCAUAUCAGAAGCCAAUAACUUGCCAUAGUUACAUAAUCAUAAUCACAUAUUAAAAUACAAACCCCCACUACUACCUCAUUCACAUAACAAAAGACAUACCAGACCCACCCGACAUCCAUCAAGAUUCCAGAGCAAUUAUAUGUAUUAUGUAACAAACCCAUAACUGGGGAGAUAAUCCAAAAAUGAAAAACUUAUAGUUGCAGAGCCUUACACCAAACCAAGAAACCAUAUACCAGCCACCCCACAUUUUCAGUAACCACUCGCCAAGCCCGAUGCGCUCUCUGUUCUCCUUUUGGCAUAGCCAUCAAGAGAACAAGGAGGACUAUACUUUGAGACCGCUAUACCAACCCCUGGAGUCUAUUGACAACC
This is a non-coding RNA of Arachis ipaensis, 1083 nucleotides long. The record is from RefSeq and is a predicted model, not a curated record. Lineage: Eukaryota; Viridiplantae; Streptophyta; Magnoliopsida; Fabales; Fabaceae.